This is a long non-coding RNA of Protopterus annectens (West African lungfish), 1145 nucleotides long. RefSeq lists it as uncharacterized. The transcript is spliced from 2 exons. NCBI's taxonomy places the organism in Eukaryota, Metazoa, Chordata, Ceratodontiformes, Protopteridae. The record is from RefSeq and is a predicted model, not a curated record.
GUAAGUGCGAUCACGUGAUCACCAAACCAUUACUUUUCAGGGUUUUAAUCCAGUGCCGGGAGACCCGGUUCUGUCAUGGCAGCAGCUUUCGGCUCACUGGGUCAGAGGAGGAGAAUAGCGAGUAUGGACAUUUUUAAUAAUUUAUCAGGUCGGCACCGUUGGAGUCGUACGUCUAAAAGUUUGGAAAGUCUGUGCAUCGUGAACCCCACCGACUCCCGGGAAGUCAGGUGUAAUAUAAGACGGGGUGUUUGGAGGGCGCAUCCCCGAGCUGAUCAGGGUCCCACCAGCCAAAGAGUGGCGAGAGAGAGUCGAGGGGUCGAUGGCAGGGCACAACUUUGUGUCUAUGAAGACAGAAAGAGGAAGCCGUCUGACACCUACAAGAUUACCAAGAAAAUGAGCUCUUUUAAUAAAAGAAUGCUACAUUUUGUAGAACUGUUAACUUAUGGAUACAAGACCCUAAAUAAUCUUUGGGGCUACGAAGGCCUCGUCGGGCUGGCUCAUUCCCUAAGACUAAUUUCCUUGUCCAAAUUCCAGACCAGCAUAGAUGUCGGAGAUUAAAACAAAGGGAAUUCUUCUGUGGAAUCCUGAGAGCUGGUGAAGCUUCUGCAUUUCCGAGUUUGAAGCCGUACAUGUGUGGGAGACACUACUGUUUGUACAAACAAUGAGAAAUGUGAAUAAGCACUGAAAGCAAAGAACACUGGCAUCCCACAUCUGAUUUGCUACACCGUGAGCUGACUUUUUGCUGGAGAUUGGUCCUUAUGGCUGGGGAGGGAUUCUCUGGCUCUAGACAGACAUUGUAAUUGUGGGCCUUCAGUGGGAUGCUCUGGAUGAGAACAGGAUAAUUCAGAAUCUGCAACAAAUUCAUCUUGGCGGGGCAGACAGUUUUAUAUUUCGACUUAUUACAUUGAGAGUGUCCUAUGUCAUUUAAUUGUUAAUCUUAAUUUUUUUUUUUUUAUGGUUUCAGUUGACCUGCAUGUAGAGAAAGUUUAUAAUAAAGCAGUCGUUUGAUCUUUACAGUGAAAGUCUGAUAUAGUUUAAGUGAUUUCAGUAUGCAUUGCUUCAUUAAAUGCAAUUACGACAUGUACCGCUGAUAACUGCAAAUAAUUAAACGAGCCCUUCAGAAAUGGAGAGCAUUUGUACAAUAA